GGUUACAUAGUAUAGUUUCUGUAUUCCUGAUUGGACCUCAACUUGUUUUUCAGUGAAUAUUUCCCCAAAGCUUCCCUUCUAACAGUUACGAUUUGCUAAGAUGAACUGCUUAAAAUCACAGAGCCAACAUCACUCCAUCAAUUAAUACUUGGCAAAGAGAACCCGAACUGGAUUUCAGCCCUGACUUCUGCCUGCUCAUCUGGACAGUUUCGUCCAAGGUAAGAUUGUAUGCAGAGUAUUUGAUUGAAAUAAUAUACGUAAAGCAGUUGGCAUAUAGCACUUGCUUUUCAUACAGUGUAUUACAUACAUAACACAUAUUCCACAUAAAUAUUUUUUCUUAGAUGUAUCAAUUAUAGUCCAGGGAGAGUAACAUA
This 374-nucleotide long non-coding RNA is filed under the name Papio anubis (olive baboon). RNAcentral describes it as "lncRNA (ENSPANG00000037741.1)". Lineage: Eukaryota; Metazoa; Chordata; Mammalia; Primates; Cercopithecidae. The record is from RNAcentral.